This 814-nucleotide long non-coding RNA is filed under the name Equus caballus (horse). RNAcentral describes it as "lncRNA (ENSECAG00000056617.1)". Lineage: Eukaryota; Metazoa; Chordata; Mammalia; Perissodactyla; Equidae. The record is from RNAcentral.
UUAAAUCUGUGCUCUAGUGGAUGUGGCAGACCCCUGGGCUAACAGCCCAAGGGACACACCUCAAUGGCCCCCACCUGUGUCCAUAUCAGCACGCAUGGACCAGCUCAGAACAACGGCCCCCACCAAUGUCUCAGUCUCUGGAGAGGAUCCUCCUCUCACCAAAAUGCCCCCAGAGCCCACCAGGAGCAGAUGUGUCAAUUAGCUUGAAAAGAAAGCUGAGGACAAGAAGCUCUUAUCCAGUUCUCCAUUUGGGACACUUGGAAAAGACUGCAGUAAAAAAGGACCCUGUGUCUCCAUGAGGUGGAAUGUUAUGUUUAUGGGAUGGAGAAAAAGGGCCAUAAGUAAAUAGAGUCUGGAAUGAUCUCCCACGCUUCUCUUGCUUCCUAUGUGGCAAGAAACUGCUGUGGAGGAGUGGCAAGUCUGGGCCAAGGAUCCAGAUGGAAGAAGUGGCAAAGAGUCUGAAACACAGCAAGGGCUGAGUAAUCAGAGAGUUGUUGAUUGAGCAGAGAAAAAUUACAUUUGUGUUCAUCAGCCCCAGAUGUCAGCAGCAAAAGCCAACAGAAAAUCCUGAGAAAGGACCAACCAACCAAGUAAUGCAGCAGACACCCACUCUGCAGUGGUCUGAAAACCACCCCCAGUACGCAGUUGCAUAUUAUAGUUGUGAGUGCCUCUGGUUGCGCUUUCUGGGACGCCGCCUCAACACGACCUGAUGAGCCGUGCCAUGUCCACGCCCUGGAUCCGAACUAGCAAACCCCGGGCUGCUGAAGCGAGCGCGCGAACUUAACCCCUUCGCCACAGGGCAGGCACCAUCUUU